RNAcentral lists this ribosomal RNA (496 nucleotides) under uncultured bacterium. Its description in RNAcentral is "partial 16S ribosomal RNA". It matches the Rfam family "Bacterial small subunit ribosomal RNA", at positions 29 to 507 of the family's 1533-position model. The record is from RNAcentral.
AUGAACGCUGGCGGCGUGCCUCAUACAUGCCAGUCGAGCGAACGGACGAGAAGCUUGCUUCUCUGAUGUUAGCGGCGGACGGGUGAGUAACACGUGGAUAACCUACCUAUAAGACUGGGAUAACUUCGGGAAACCGGAGCUAAUACCGGAUAAUAUUUUGAACCGCAUGGUUCAAAAGUGAAAGACGGUCUUGCUGUCACUUAUAGAUGGAUCCGCGCUGCAUUAGCUAGUUGGUAAGGUGACGGCUUACCAAGGCAACGAUGCAUAGCCGACCUGAGAGGGUGAUCGGCCACACUGGAACUGAGACACGGUCCAGACUCCUACGGGAGGCAGCAGUAGGGAAUCUUCCGCAAUGGGCGAAAGCCUGACGGAGCAACGCCGCGUGAGUGAUGAAGGUCUUCGGAUCGUAAAACUCUGUUAUUAGGGAAGAACAUAUGUGUAAGUAACUGUGCACAUCUUGACGGUACCUAAUCAGAAAGCCACGGCUAACUACGUG